Coregonus clupeaformis (lake whitefish) is the source of this 253-nucleotide long non-coding RNA. RefSeq lists it as uncharacterized. Lineage: Eukaryota; Metazoa; Chordata; Actinopteri; Salmoniformes; Salmonidae. The record is from RefSeq and is a predicted model, not a curated record. The transcript is spliced from 3 exons.
GUUUCGCAAGUUAUGAAGUGGGUAGUUUUUGCAACACUAUGCUAGGAGAGUGGAGAGGCGGGACUAGGCGGACAAGGGUGUGACCCUUCUCUGUGAUUGGUGGACAGAGAUUGACGGACAGACAGACGGAUAAAGAGGACGAGACAGACUGGAGAGGAGAGACUGAGAGAGAGAGAUGGAUCACAAUGUCAACUUUGACCUGACUCCUCACCACAUGGAGGCUGGCCUGGAGAGCCCAGUGGAUGAGGAGGGG